GUGCCAGCAGCCGCGGUAAUACGGGGGGGGCAAGCGUUGUUCGGAAUUACUGGGCGUAAAGGGCUCGUAGGCGGCCAACUAAGUCACACGUGAAAUCCCUCGGCUCAACCGGGGAACUGCGUGUGAGACUGGAUGGCUUGAGUUUGGGAGAGGAAUGCGGAAUUCCAGGUGUAGCGGUGAAAUGCGUAGAUAUCUGGAGGAACACCGGUGGCGAAGGCGGCAUUCUGGACCAAUACUGACGCUGAGGAGCGAAAGCCAGGGGAGCAAACGGGAUUAGAUACCCCCGUAGUCC
Molecule: ribosomal RNA, 292 nt
Filed under: uncultured bacterium
Lineage: Bacteria
Description: partial 16S ribosomal RNA
Rfam family: Bacterial small subunit ribosomal RNA
Source: RNAcentral